GGGCCUGUAGCUCAGUUGGUUAGAGCGCACCCCUGAUAAGGGUGAGGUCGGUGGUUCGAGUCCACCCAGGCCCACCA
RNAcentral lists this transfer RNA (77 nucleotides) under Methylobacter tundripaludum SV96. Its description in RNAcentral is "tRNA-Ile". It matches the Rfam family "tRNA". From Rfam's summary of the family: Transfer RNA (tRNA) molecules are approximately 80 nucleotides in length. Their secondary structure includes four short double-helical elements and three loops (D, anti-codon, and T loops). The record is from RNAcentral. RNAcentral also lists the same sequence under 7 other names. Lineage: Bacteria; Pseudomonadati; Pseudomonadota; Gammaproteobacteria; Methylococcales; Methylococcaceae.